AUUGAACGCUGGCGGCAGGCCUAACACAUGCAAGUCGAGCGGAUGAAGGGAGCUUGCUCCUGGAUUCAGCGGCGGACGGGUGAGUAAUGCCUAGGAAUCUGCCUGGUAGUGGGGGAUAACGUCCGGAAACGGGCGCUAAUACCGCAUACGUCCUGAGGGAGAAAGUGGGGGAUCUUCGGACCUCACGCUAUCAGAUGAGCCUAGGUCGGAUUAGCUAGUUGGUGGGGUAAAGGCCUACCAAGGCGACGAUCCGUAACUGGUCUGAGAGGAUGAUCAGUCAAACGGGAAAUAGAACACGGCCCAACCCCCUGGGGGGGGCAGAGGGGGGGAAUAUUGGAAAAGGGGGGAAAGCCUGAACCAGCCAGGCCGGGUGGGUGAAGAAGGGCUUGGGAUUGGAAAGCACUUUAAGUUGGGAGGAAGGGAAGUAAGUUAAUACCUUGCUGUUUUGGCGUUACCAACAGAAUAAGCACCGGCAAACUUCGU
Molecule: ribosomal RNA, 483 nt
Filed under: uncultured bacterium
Lineage: Bacteria
Description: partial 16S ribosomal RNA
Rfam family: Bacterial small subunit ribosomal RNA
Source: RNAcentral